RNAcentral lists this transfer RNA (70 nucleotides) under Marmota monax (woodchuck). RNAcentral describes it as "tRNA.Ala". The stretch from base 5 to 65 matches the Rfam family "tRNA", at positions 6 to 65 of the family's 71-position model. Rfam says of the family: Transfer RNA (tRNA) molecules are approximately 80 nucleotides in length. Lineage: Eukaryota; Metazoa; Chordata; Mammalia; Rodentia; Sciuridae. The record is from RNAcentral.
GGGCUGGGGCUUAGUGGUAGAGUGCACACUUAGCAUGUGUGAGGCCCUGGGUUUGAUCCUCAGCAACACA